CAGCCGCCGCGGUAAUACCGGCGGCCCGAGUGGCGGUCACUAUUAUUGGGCUUAAAGCGUCCGUAGCCGGGUUGGGAAGUCCUCCGGGAAAUCUGGCCGCUUAACGGUCAGAAUGCCGGAGGAUACUCCCAGCCUAGGGGGCGGGAGAGGCCGAGGGGAUUCCCGGAGUAGGGGGGAAAUCCUAUAAUCCCGGGAGGACCACCUGUGGCGAAGGCGCUCGGCUGGAACGCGUCCGACGGUGAGGGACGAAGGCCAGGGGAGCAAACCGGAUUAGAUACCCGGGUAGUCCUGGCUGUAAACGAUGCGGACUUUGUGUCGGACAAGCUAUGAGCUUGUCCGGUGCCGGAGGGAAACCGUUAAGUCCGCCGCCUGGGGAGUACGGCCGCAAGGCUGAAACUUAAAGGAAUUGGCGGG
RNAcentral lists this ribosomal RNA (414 nucleotides) under uncultured microorganism. RNAcentral's name for it is "bacterial SSU rRNA". It matches the Rfam family "Archaeal small subunit ribosomal RNA", at positions 459 to 872 of the family's 1478-position model. The record is from RNAcentral.